RNAcentral lists this long non-coding RNA (208 nucleotides) under Elaeis guineensis (African oil palm). Its description in RNAcentral is "long non-coding RNA (EGUI_LNC023237)". The record is from RNAcentral. Lineage: Eukaryota; Viridiplantae; Streptophyta; Magnoliopsida; Arecales; Arecaceae.
CGCCCGCGUGGGCGUGCCUGGGCUUGGGCCACACCCCGCACACCCAGGCCUGGGCCAGCCCACGUGCCCGUGUGCCCGUGUGCUUGGGCCUGGGCUGUGCCCUGCACGCACCCAACCAGCGCGCUGGCCGCCCGUGGCCGCACCGCCGCCACUCCACCAACCCACUGCCGGCCGCCGGCAGUCCUCUGUCAUCUUGAGUUUCGUGCCG